This 72-nucleotide transfer RNA is filed under the name Thermoleophilia bacterium. Its description in RNAcentral is "tRNA-Thr". It matches the Rfam family "tRNA". Rfam says of the family: Transfer RNA (tRNA) molecules are approximately 80 nucleotides in length. Their secondary structure includes four short double-helical elements and three loops (D, anti-codon, and T loops). Lineage: Bacteria; Bacillati; Actinomycetota; Thermoleophilia. The record is from RNAcentral. RNAcentral also lists the same sequence under 1 other name.
GCCCUCUUAGCUCAGUGGUAGAGCACCUCCAUGGUAAGGAGGGGGUCCGCGGUUCAAUCCCGCGAGAGGGCU